Molecule: unclassified non-coding RNA, 258 nt
Filed under: Hevea brasiliensis (rubber tree)
Lineage: Eukaryota; Viridiplantae; Streptophyta; Magnoliopsida; Malpighiales; Euphorbiaceae
Source: RNAcentral
UAUGCUCACAAACUAGUCAAACAACACAGCCUUGGAUUCCAAUCUUGCACAGAGUAUAUGAAUGGAAUGAAAGAUGAAAAUAAUCAGAUGUUUGUAUUCUGUAAUAUGAAAUUAAGGCUUUGGCAUAAUGAGGAACUAGACGAAGAUGUUGCUGACGUGCCGCAUUUAUUUCCACCGUGUAUCUAUUCUACUGCUAUCUGAACAUCUCAUCAGCUGAGUAUUGGUGUUUAAGGCUCCAUUUUAAUUCGGAGCUUGGAG